This 497-nucleotide ribosomal RNA is filed under the name uncultured bacterium. RNAcentral describes it as "partial 16S ribosomal RNA". It matches the Rfam family "Bacterial small subunit ribosomal RNA", at positions 28 to 507 of the family's 1533-position model. The record is from RNAcentral.
GAUGAACGCUGGCGGCGUGCCUAAUACAUGCAAGUCGAGCGAACGGACGAGAAGCUUGCUUCUCUGAUGUUAGCGGCGGACGGGUGAGUAACACGUGGAUAACCUACCUAUAAGACUGGGAUAACUUCGGGAAACCGGAGCUAAUACCGGAUAAUAUUUUGAACCGCAUGGUUCAAAAGUGAAAGACGGUCUUGCUGUCACUUAUAGAUGGAUCCGCGCUGCAUUAGCUAGUUGGUAAGGUAACGGCUUACCAAGGCAACGAUGCAUAGCCGACCUGAGAGGGUGAUCGGCCACACUGGAACUGCGACACGGUCCAGACUCCUGCGGGAGGCAGCAGUAGGGAAUCUUCCGCAAUGGGCGAAAGCCUGACGGAGCAACGCCGCGUGAGUGAUGAAGGUCUUCGGAGCGUAAAACUCUGUUAUUAGGGAAGAACAUAUGUGUAAGGAACUGUGCACAUCUUGACGGUACCUAAUCAGAAAGCCACGGCUAACUACGUG